GUGGGGCAGGACAGGCCUGGGAAGAUAAGGAGCACAGGGUUGAGAAGGCAGGAAGAGAGUUGAAGGAACCACUGAAAGUGAGAGAGAAUGUUGUCCUGCGAUUUACUUCAGUGUCCAGCCCAGGUGAACCUUGGAGUGGAAAAGUGGGAACUGUGACUACCCCAUCACUCUUAUACCCAGCUGGUUCAGUCAAAUGAAAUUAAUUUCUGUACACAAUCUAGAAGGUCAGUGAUUUGAUGUUCUUGAAAAACAAGGGAUAUGCAGUUAGAAGCUGCAGGUGGACGGGGAAAAGGCUGGCCUGAGAAUCUCCAAAGAGUCCUGAUGAACAAAGGAUAUCCUUCUGCAAGAUGCUGGAAGCUAAAGAAACAGAAGGACAAAACUGUGUCAGAGUGCCCAGCUGUGUCAGGACACCCCUUGCACAGAAGUCUGCACUGAGUAAAGGAAAGUUGUGAAUGAACCUCAGCGUGCUCACUGGCAAAGUCAAGGUGUGACAACACUGGGCACUACCCAGAGAAUGCCAGGAAGAAUGAAAGCAGAAGGAAUGGCAAACAAAUGAGACCACACAACAGCAGCCUAAAGCAGAGAGGUUCGUCAUUGCACAUCUCCAAGUUCAAAAUGAAGGUCAGACUGGAAAGGAAUAGAAGUAUUCUUUCCUCCUUCCUCCCAAGAGUUUUGCUUCGUACAGCUCAAAACAAAUACAGGUUCAGGAUUAUGAAAUCCCUCGGAGGAGUAAGAUGACUGCAACAAAUGUCACGAAGGAAGAUGAAUAACAAAACCAAAUAAAUGGAUUCAAC
RNAcentral lists this long non-coding RNA (794 nucleotides) under Junco hyemalis (dark-eyed junco). RNAcentral describes it as "lncRNA (ENSJHYG00000014366.1)". Lineage: Eukaryota; Metazoa; Chordata; Aves; Passeriformes; Passerellidae. The record is from RNAcentral.